Molecule: ribosomal RNA, 324 nt
Filed under: uncultured eukaryote
Lineage: Eukaryota
Description: partial 18S ribosomal RNA
Rfam family: Eukaryotic small subunit ribosomal RNA
Source: RNAcentral
CCCUUAGAUGUUCUGGGCUGCACGCGCGCUACACUGAAGCUAUCAACACGUUUUCCCUCCCUGAGAAGGGCGGGUAACCUUUUGAAUCAGCUUCGUGGUAGGGAUCGGGGCUUGCAAUUGUUCCCCGUGAACCAGGAAUUCCUAGUAGACGCGAGUCAUAAGCUCGCAUCGAUUAAGUCCCUGCCCUUUGUACACACCGCCCGUCGCUACUACCGAUUGAACGUUUUAGUGAGGCAUUUGGACCGACGCAUCUCAGUUUAACCGCUGGUUUGUGUUGGAAAGACUACCAAACUUGAGCGUUUAGAGGAAGUAAAAGUCGUAACA